UGGGGAAUUUUGGACAAUGGGCGCAAGCCUGAUCCAGCCAUGCCGCGUGCGGGAAGAAGGCCUUCGGGUUGUAAACCGCUUUUGUCAGGGAAGAAAUCUUCUGAGUUAAUACCUCGGGAGGAUGACGGUACCUGAAGAAUAAGCACCGGCUAACUACGUGCCAGCAGCCGCGGUAAUACGUAGGGUGCAAGCGUUAAUCGGAAUUACUGGGCGUAAAGCGUGCGCAGGCGGUUUUGUAAGACAGGGGUUGAAAUCCCCGGGCUCAACCUGGGAACUGCCUUUGUGACUGCAAGGCUUGAGUGCGGCAGAGGGGGAUGGAAUUCCGCGUGUAGCAGUGAAAUGCGUAGAUAUGCGGAGGAACACCGAUGGCGAAGGCAAUCCCCUGGGCCUGCACUGACGCUCAUGCACGAAAGCGUGGGGAGCAAACAGGAUUAGAUACCCUGGUAGUCCACGCCCUAAACGAUGUCAACUGGUUGUUGGGAAGGUUCCUUCUCAGUAACGUAGCUAACGCGUGAAGUUGACCGCCUGGGGAGUACGGCCGCAAGGUUGAAACUCAAAUGAAUUGACGGGGUCAUAGCUGUUUCCUG
Molecule: ribosomal RNA, 587 nt
Filed under: uncultured bacterium
Lineage: Bacteria
Description: partial 16S ribosomal RNA
Rfam family: Bacterial small subunit ribosomal RNA
Source: RNAcentral